CAACUGCAGGAGAGAAAGAACCAUGUGACUUCUGGGUCACCAACUCCCGAUGCAGAGGGGAGGGUCUGUGCAGGAAACUGCAGCCUUGAAGAGCCAAGGGUUUCAAAGGCAGCCAUGGAUACUGAGUUGGUUUUGUUGUUUUCUGACAAGGUCUUGUUAUGUAGCUCAGGCUGGCUUUGAACACUGGGCUUACAGUCCUCACUCCCUCCCUUGAGACCUUGUUGACUGACUGAGCUGGCUUGGUCACAGCAGUCUGAGGAUCAGAAUGUGGAAUUCUAAGUUCUAUCUCCAGCCCCGUGUCUGCCUGCAUGCUGCCAUUCUCCCACCGUGAUAAUGGACAGAACCUCUGAACUGUAAGCCAGCCCCAAUUAAAUGUUUUCCUUUAUAAGA
This is a long non-coding RNA of Mastomys coucha (southern multimammate mouse), 390 nucleotides long. RefSeq lists it as uncharacterized. The transcript is spliced from 2 exons. NCBI's taxonomy places the organism in Eukaryota, Metazoa, Chordata, Mammalia, Rodentia, Muridae. The record is from RefSeq and is a predicted model, not a curated record.